Molecule: ribosomal RNA, 429 nt
Filed under: uncultured bacterium
Lineage: Bacteria
Description: bacterial SSU rRNA
Rfam family: Bacterial small subunit ribosomal RNA
Source: RNAcentral
UCAGGCCUAACACAUGCAAGUCGAACGGCAGCGCGGGUGCUUGCACCUGGCGGCGAGUGGCGAACGGGUGAGUAAUACAUCGGAACGUGCCCUAGAGUGGGGGAUAACUAGUCGAAAGAUUAGCUAAUACCGCAUACGAUCUACGGAUGAAAGUGGGGGACCGCAAGGCCUCAUGCUCCUGGAGCGGCCGAUGUCUGAUUAGCUAGUUGGUGGGGUAAAAGCCUACCAAGGCGACGAUCAGUAGCUGGUCUGAGAGGACGACCAGCCACACUGGGACUGAGACACGGCCCAGACUCCUACGGGAGGCAGCAGUGGGGAAUUUUGGACAAUGGGGGCAACCCUGAUCCAGCAAGGCCGCGUGUGUGAAGAAGGCCUUCGGGUUGUAAAGCAAAUGGUCGGGAACGAAACGGUGGGGGCUAAUAUCCUCUG